Molecule: long non-coding RNA, 1284 nt
Filed under: Phasianus colchicus (ring-necked pheasant)
Lineage: Eukaryota; Metazoa; Chordata; Aves; Galliformes; Phasianidae
Description: lncRNA (ENSPCLG00000021403.1)
Source: RNAcentral
AUGCAGCACAGAGGAGAGGCGAGCGCCCCAGAGCAGGAUAUCAGCCAACACGGCCAUGGUCAGGGAGCCUCUGCUUAUAAGUGUAGCUUCAGAUUUGAAUAUCAUGGAGCUCUUCCGUUCUGGAUUCUGGCUUCAGUUCGGAGGCUGAGGUUGGUGUUGGCGUACAAAGGAUCUGCAGUGAGCACACAGCUGCACAGCUGGAGAUCUAGCAUAACUCAGGGAGAGAGCUGCCUUCCCUCUGGCUCCUGCAUCGCACGAAAUGGAUGGCCAGGUCCCAGCAGGAGUACAUGGCAGUGUUCCUGGCAGUGCAGUUUGUGACCCAUCCAGCAUGAGCAACACGUUUCUCCUUGUGAGCGGAGCUCUGACCCCUGAUUCCACUCUGACCACAGUGUGCUUCCCCCAGUGGCUGCUUUUCACCUCUGAGCAUUCAACAGAUUUCAGCUGAAUGCUGUUAGCUUGGUGAUGGAGCCGCUGUCACUUGUGCAGCUCCAGGGAGCUGGAUGUUGCCUCCAAGCUCUUGGGAUCAAAACUGUCAAAGUACAGGCAGGUAGUAGGGAGCUGCUACACUGUCUUCCUCAGCCUGCAGAUGGUGUGUAAAUGGUGAUCUUUCAUCUUAACAGAAUGCUAAAACUUGAAACUCAAUUAUGACAGUUGCAUUUGCGUUCUUAACAAUUUCAGGACCUGAUCAUUUUAGCAAAACACUUGAACAAUGAGUCUCUAUUAGAUGUAGCUGCUUAGCAGUUCAAAAGAUAAUUUUCAACUUCUAUCUUGUUAACUUCAGGUGCCUUUUUGGGUUGUCAGCAUUCAUUGGUGUGCAGGAAAUUUAAAAUGAAGGUAAAUACAAAUCACUUUAUUGGAGGGAGAAAAGAAAAUAGCUUUCCUGUGUUGAUUAUAUUGCUUGUCUACCAUCCUAAGCAAGAAAACAUUCUUGCUCUUGAUUUAGACUGUGGAGAAGGUAUGCUGGGUAAUCAAGGGCUCUUCCUGAUAGCAUGCCCAGAUACUCAAUUGCAUGGCUAGAGCUCCAGCUUAGGGCUACACAGUUCUGCAUAGCUAACACAUAGAAACUCAAGAGCUAUACUGUUUAGAAUCAGAGAUAACUCUUCAAAGUUAAAAUGUGUUUUUCCAUUUGGACAACUUUCUUGAUUUAUAACUUUAUCUACGAUCAGAUUUAAGACUGUAAGCCCAAGCAUUGUUUCUGGAGGAAGCAGAAUGUGGACUGUUUACAAUAGGAGCUGUUAGUAGACCCAGUUGAAGGGUGGAAAUAAAUUCAUGCAUAGUGCUCCA